AAUUCUGAUUAGUCCUUCACUCCCAGAUGACCUCUCUUUCAAGCAAUGGUUUACUUUGAACAAGGAAGAAAUCCAAAAUUUGCUUAAUGCUAAAACAUACAGUGAUGCUAACUGUUUACUUCCUCCUCCAAAUGAAGAAGAUAUCAAAGCAAUCAGCACUUUUCAAGCAUUAUUUCCAAUUCAAAAGGCAGCUUGGGUGCAAGGAACUGUCAAACUUGCAUAUGGAUUCACCAAAUAUUGGACUACUGCUUGUGUGAAUUGUCACAAAAUUGUGAAUGUUGACAUUGACUGGAUCAUUCAUUGUCCUUCAUGCAAACAGCAAAGUGAAGUUGAACUGAGGGCUCGCAUUCCAAUUAUAAUAACUGAUCCUUCG
This is a non-coding RNA of Coffea arabica (coffee), 373 nucleotides long. The record is from RefSeq and is a predicted model, not a curated record. NCBI's taxonomy places the organism in Eukaryota, Viridiplantae, Streptophyta, Magnoliopsida, Gentianales, Rubiaceae.